GACGAACGCUGGCGGCGUGCUUAACACAUGCAAGUCGAACGGAAAGGCCCUGCUUUUGUGGGGUGCUCGAGUGGCGAACGGGUGAGUAACACGUGAGUAAACUGCCCUUGACUUUGGGAUAAAUCCAGGAAACAGGGGCUAAUACCGGAGAGAAGAUCCUGCUGCACGGUGGGGGUUGGAAAGUUUCGGCGGUGGGGGAUGGACUCGCGGCUUACCAGCUUGUUGGUGAGGUAGUGGAUUACCAAGGCUUUGACGGGUAGCCGGCCUUAGAGGUUGACCGGCCUCAUUGGGCCUGCGAUACGGCCCAGUCUCCUACGGUACGCAGCGGUGGGGAAUCUUGCGCAGUGGGCGGACGCCUGAUGCGGCAGCGCCGCGUGCGGGAUGCCGUCCUUCGGGUUGUAAACCGCUUUCUCCUGUGACGAAGCGUGAUUGACGGUAAUGGGUAAAGAAGCACCGGCUAACUACGUG
RNAcentral lists this ribosomal RNA (468 nucleotides) under uncultured bacterium. RNAcentral describes it as "partial 16S ribosomal RNA". It matches the Rfam family "Bacterial small subunit ribosomal RNA", at positions 28 to 507 of the family's 1533-position model. The record is from RNAcentral.